GACGAACGCUGGCGGCGUGCUUAACACAUGCAAGUCGAACGGAAAGGCCCUGCUUUUGUGGGGUGCUCGAGUGGCGAACGGGUGAGUAACACGUGAGUAACCUGCCCUUGACUUUGGGAUAACUUCAGGAAACUGGGGCUAAUACCGGAUAGGAGCUCCUGCUGCAUGGUGGGGGUUGGAAAGUUUCGGCGGUUGGGGAUGGACUCGCGGCUUAUCAGCUUGUUGGUGGGGUAGUGGCUUACCAAGGCUUUGGCGGGUAGCCGGCCUGAGAGGGUGACCGGCCACAUUGGGACUGAGAUACGGCCCAGACUCCUACGGGAGGCAGCAGUGGGGAAUAUUGCACAAUGGGCGGAAGCCUGAUGCAGCAACGCCGCGUGCGGGAUGACGGCCUUCGGGUUGUAAACCGCUUUCGCCUGUGACGAAGCGUGAGUGACGGUAAUGGGUAAAGAAGCACCGGCUAACUACGUGCCAGCAGCCGCGGUGAUACGUAGGGUGCGAGCGUUGUCCGGAUUUAUUGGGCGUAAAGGGCUCGUAGGUGGUUGAUCGCGUCGGAAGCGUAAUCUUGGGGCUUAACCCUGAGCGUGCUUUCGAUACGGGUUGACUUGAGGAAAGGUAGGGGAGAAUGGAAUUCCUGGUGGAGCGGUGGAAUGCGCAGAUAUCAGGAGGAACACCAGUGGCGAAGGCGGUUCUCUGGGCCUUUCCUGACGCUGAGGAGCGAAAGCGUGGGGAGCGAACAGGCUUAGAUACCCUGGUAGUCCACGCUGUAAACGGUGGGUACUAGGUGUGGGGUCCAUUCCACGGGUUCCGUGCCGUAGCUAACGCUUUAAGUACCCCGCCUGGGGAGUACGGCCGCAAGGCUAAGACUCAAAGGAAUUGACGGGGCCCCGCACAAGCGGCGGAGCAUGCGGAUUAAUUCGAUGCAACGCGUAGAACCUUACCUGGGUUUGACAUGGAUCGGGAGUGCUCAGAGAUGGGUGUGCCUCUUUUGGGGUCGGUUCACAGGUGGUGCAUGGCUGUCGUCAGCUCGUGUCGUGAGAUGUUGGGUUAAGUCCCGCAACGAGCGCAACCCUUGUUCACUGUUGCCAGCACGUUAUGGUGGGGACUCAGUGGAGACCGCCGGGGUCAACUCGGAGGAAGGUGGGGAUGACGUCAAGUCAUCAUGCCCCUUAUGUCCAGGGCUUCACGCAUGCUACAAUGGCUGGUACAGAGAGUGGCGAGCCUGUGAGGGUGAGCGAAUCUCGGAAAGCCGGUCUCAGUUCGGAUUGGGGUCUGCAACUCGACCUCAUGAAGUCGGAGUCGCUAGUAAUCGCAGAUCAGCAACGCUGCGGUGAAUACGUUCCCGGGGCU
RNAcentral lists this ribosomal RNA (1347 nucleotides) under uncultured bacterium. Its description in RNAcentral is "partial 16S ribosomal RNA". It matches the Rfam family "Bacterial small subunit ribosomal RNA", at positions 28 to 1381 of the family's 1533-position model. The record is from RNAcentral.